Molecule: long non-coding RNA, 517 nt
Filed under: Trifolium pratense (red clover)
Lineage: Eukaryota; Viridiplantae; Streptophyta; Magnoliopsida; Fabales; Fabaceae
Description: long non-coding RNA (TPRA_LNC011289)
Source: RNAcentral
ACCUCUAUCCUCCUGGCCCUGCCUCUGGUGAAGGAGGGUCCCAGGUUGGGAAAGAAGCUAAGAUAUGGCCAGAGGAGGUGCUGUGGACUGAUUCGGAUUCCGCGAUUAGCUCAGGUUCCGAGCACGAGGAUUAGGUGCUCGGAUCCAUUUGUAAUCCUCUUUCCUUUGUAAUGGAUUAUCAUUAAUAAAAUAAUUCUCUUUUGAUUUCCCCGAGCACAAUUUAUUUGCACUUAUGCUUUAUGUAUGCUCUUAAUUUAAUAAUAUUGCGGAUUUUCCGAAUGAUUCCGAGCGGACUUUUCGGUCGAAAACUGGACUUCUUUUUCGAGCAAGUUUUCGACUUUACGAAUUUGCCGAGGAGCGUGGUGCUCUUAUUCGGUUGUUGCGGUCUUCCCCGUAUUUUUAGCAAAGAAAUAAGGGGAGUGGAUUCCGAGGAUCUUGCAUUUCCUUAUUUGUCGCAAUUUUCUCGGGAUGUGGUGUCUUGGAUUUCGCGAGAUUUGCGCGAGCAGACGGAUGUGAC